GUAGGUGGCAAGCGUUGUCCGGAAUUAUUGGGCGUAAAGCGCGCGCAGGCGGUUCUUUAAGUCUGAUGUGAAAGCCCACGGCUCAACCGUGGAGGGUCAUUGGAAACUGGAGAACUUGAGUACAGAAGAGGAAAGCGGAAUUCCACGUGUAGCGGUGAAAUGCGUAGAGAUGUGGAGGAACACCAGUGGCGGAGGCGGCUUUCUGGUCUGUAACUGACGCUGAGGCGCGAAAGCGUGGGGAGCAAACAGGGAUUAGAUACCCUGGUAGUCCACGCCGUAAACGAUGAGUGCUAAGUGUUAGGGGGGUUUCCGCCCCCUUAGUGCUGCAGCUAACGCAUUAAGCACUCCGCCUGGGGAUACGGCCGCAAGGCUG
This 373-nucleotide ribosomal RNA is filed under the name uncultured organism. RNAcentral describes it as "partial 16S ribosomal RNA". It matches the Rfam family "Bacterial small subunit ribosomal RNA", at positions 527 to 896 of the family's 1533-position model. The record is from RNAcentral.